UUAAAAGUACAAGCUGUUUCAAGUACUCUGUGAUUUAGAAGAGAAAUAAACUCUGGUUAUAAAUUAUUUUUACCAAAUCACUGGACAGAACCUAUAUUUGAGCAAAGCUUUGCUAGAAUUUCAUUUUAAUUCACAUAUUAGUUACUUGAAAAUUGACUUUUUUUUGUUUUUUCCAGACGGAGUUUCGCUCGUCACCCAGGCUAGAGUGCAAUGGCGUGAUCUUGGUUCACUGCAACCUCUGCCUCCUGGGUUCAAGCGAUUCUCCUGUCUCAGGUUCCCGAGCAGCUGGGACUACAGGAGCCCACCACCUGGCUCAGCUAAUUUUUGUAUAUUUAGUAGAGACGGGGUGUCACCACGUUGG
RNAcentral lists this long non-coding RNA (361 nucleotides) under Homo sapiens (human). Its description in RNAcentral is "non-protein coding lnc-AKIP1-5:1". Lineage: Eukaryota; Metazoa; Chordata; Mammalia; Primates; Hominidae. The record is from RNAcentral.